Non-coding RNA from Oncorhynchus keta (chum salmon), 74 nucleotides. The record is from the annotation of a RefSeq genome assembly. Lineage: Eukaryota; Metazoa; Chordata; Actinopteri; Salmoniformes; Salmonidae.
GUCCCGUAUGGGUCAGUUGGUAGAGCAUGGCACUUGGAAUGCCAGGGUUGUGGGUUCAAUUCCCAUUGGGGACC